GCUGGAUUCGCUAGUAAUCGCGCAUCAGCCAUGGCGCGGUGAAUACGUUCCCGGGCCUUGUACACACCGCCCGUCAAGCCAUGGGAGCUGGGGGUGCCUGAAGGCCGUGACCGCGAGGAGCGGCCUAGGGUAAAACCGGUGACUGGGGCUAAGUCGUAACAAGGUAAC
This 168-nucleotide ribosomal RNA is filed under the name uncultured bacterium. RNAcentral's name for it is "partial 16S ribosomal RNA". It matches the Rfam family "Bacterial small subunit ribosomal RNA", at positions 1325 to 1500 of the family's 1533-position model. The record is from RNAcentral.